Molecule: ribosomal RNA, 198 nt
Filed under: uncultured bacterium
Lineage: Bacteria
Description: partial 16S ribosomal RNA
Rfam family: Bacterial small subunit ribosomal RNA
Source: RNAcentral
ACGCUCGACACCUACUGGAGGCAGCAGUGGGGAAUAUUGCACAAUGGGGGAAACCCUGAUGCAGCGACGCCGCGUGAGCGAAGAAGUAUUUCGGUAUGUAAAGCUCUAUCAGCAGGGAAGAAAAUGACGGUACCUGACUAAGAAGCCCCGGCUAACUACGUGUCAGCAGCCGCGGUAAUCUGAGCGGGCUGGCAAGGC